This 844-nucleotide ribosomal RNA is filed under the name Thamnolia vermicularis. RNAcentral's name for it is "eukaryotic LSU rRNA". The stretch from base 518 to 671 matches the Rfam family "5.8S ribosomal RNA". Lineage: Eukaryota; Fungi; Ascomycota; Lecanoromycetes; Pertusariales; Icmadophilaceae. The record is from RNAcentral.
UAAACUGUAGGACCCAUGCAAGUGGGGGAGGGGGGGGGUCAUGCCCCUCCCCCCGCACACGAUCGAAUUGACGGGGACACCUAAAGCCUACAUCACUACCCACCGCGGGAAAUCGCGGUGGUAUCUCGUGCGAAAGACACGAGGGAGAGUAACAGCAUGUAGGAUACCUCCGGUCUCAGGGCUGGUAAGGAUGGGCAAUCCGCAGCGAAGGCUCUAAGUCCCAGGAUACGAGCAACGUUCACAGACUAGGUGGUUGUGGGUGGAGUCGAAUCUCCGCUUAAGAUAUAGUCGGGCCCGGGGGGAAAACUCUCGGGGGCAUUCACUGCAAAUCCAACCGUUCCGUAGGUGAACCUGCGGAAGGAUCAUUAUCAGAGAUAGGGNUUCNCCGCCCGAACCUCCCAUCCCGUGCGAANUGUUACCCGGUUGCUUCGGCGUUUAGGCUCGUCCACGCCAGUAGCUCAUCACAAAUCUUUGUUGCAAUCGUGACGUCCGAGUACACAAUAUAGAAGAAUAAGAAAACUUUCAACAACGGAUCUCUUGGUUCUGGCAUCGAUGAAGAACGCAGCGAAAUGCGAUAAGUAAUGUGAAUUGCAGAAUUCAGUGAAUCAUCGAAUCUUUGAACGCACAUUGCACCUCCUGGCAUUCCGGGAGGUAUGCCUGUCCGAGCGUCAUUUCACCCCUCAAGCUCCGGCUCGGUGUUGGGCCACAUCCCCCCCAACGGAUGAGCCUCAAAAUCAGUGGCGGCGUGGCAUGACCCCGAGCGUAGUGACACUAUUUUUGCUCCGUGGGUUUCAUGCGACGGUGGCCAGAACUGGAUGUCACAGUCCAACUUCUCAAAGGUGAC